Molecule: long non-coding RNA, 788 nt
Organism: Pelobates fuscus (common spadefoot toad)
Lineage: Eukaryota; Metazoa; Chordata; Amphibia; Anura; Pelobatidae
Exons: 3
Source: RefSeq, a predicted model, not a curated record
CAUCAAGGAGCAGAAAGGGUCAGAAAUGAGCUGGAAGGGGCAGAAGGAGCACAAACGUAAAGUAGGAGAAUGAGCAGGAAGGGCCUGCGAGGAGCAGGAAGGAGCAGAAAGGGACAGCAAGGAGCACAAAGGUAAAGUAGGAGAAGGAGCACAAAGGAACAGAAAUGAACAGGAAGGGUCAGCAAGAAGCUGGAAGGUAAAGCAGCACAAAGGUAAAGUGGAAGAAGCAGAAAAGGUCAGAAAUUAGCUGGAAGGGGCAGAAGGAGCACAAACAUAAAGUAGGAGAAUGAGCAGGAAGGGCCUGCGAGGAGCAGGAAGGAGCAGAACGGGACAGCAAGGAGCACAAAGGUAAAGUAGAAAAAGGAGCAGAAAGGGUCUGCAAUGGAGCCGAAAGGGGUCAGAAUGAGAAAGGAGCAGAAGGGCGCAAAAUGAGCAGAAUGGGCAAAGGAUAGAAAACAGUGUCAGAAGAAAAAGAAGACUGUCAAAUGAAGGAGAGGAAAAGGAGAUUGGAGCAGGAAGGACAAAUGAAGUGAACCCUCCACUUUAUUCUGGACAUCACAUCAUAAGGUUUUGGUACCUGGGCCUGGCAGGGAAACUCUGGACCUUCUCAUCUCCAAAAGUAAAAAAAAAUUAUCAGUGUUAAUGUGUUCACUUUUAUUUACUGAGUGUCCGGAAGCACAGAGAGCCAUUGGGUAGGGGUGUUGCUGAUUGGCUAGAGCGGUCAGCUGGCACUCUAAGCCAAUCAGUAGCUCCCCAUUCCUAAAAAAGUAAAAAUAUUUUAUGAACCG